CUGUCUGCAUGACGCAUCAGGUCCACUUGAACUUGGGGGGAUGAGAACUCAGACUCUUCAUGGCCUUCCUCCUCCUCAAAAUCCUCCUGAUCCCCAGCCCUAGAGCAUGCCAACAACAUCAUGGUCCAUCUCCUUCUGCGAGAAUCACAGAAAGAUUGGAUCUCAUACAACAGACCCACAGGCUCUAUGCACCAGUGUCACUGUCCCCUUUUCUAUCAUAUGGAAUGGUCACUGGGGUGUAGCUUCACAUCAGACACUACGCCUUCAAGCCCCCUUUGUAGCCAGAUGGGGAUGUGAACCUAUCUGUGCCUGUUGGAUGUGA
Molecule: long non-coding RNA, 322 nt
Filed under: Rhinopithecus bieti (black snub-nosed monkey)
Lineage: Eukaryota; Metazoa; Chordata; Mammalia; Primates; Cercopithecidae
Description: lncRNA (ENSRBIG00000046306.1)
Source: RNAcentral